Small nucleolar RNA from Suncus etruscus (white-toothed pygmy shrew), 128 nucleotides. RefSeq annotates it as small nucleolar RNA SNORA51. The transcript has a single exon. NCBI's taxonomy places the organism in Eukaryota, Metazoa, Chordata, Mammalia, Eulipotyphla, Soricidae. The record is from RefSeq and is a predicted model, not a curated record.
GGCCUCCUGGUACUUAAUACAGGCUGUGUUCUUUACAUUGUACCGAAAGGGUAGGCACAGAAAAUGCACACCAUACAUACCUCAUCCCAUAUCCUUUUCCUGGUCUCUAUUAUGAAUGGGGGACAUGG